UCACACUUAUUUCUCUUCUCUUUCUCUUAAAACAAACAAUACCUUAAAUCUACUCUAUUUCUCACCUCUUUCUUUCUUCACAUACUCUUUUUCACUUCUUUCUCUCUUCACACUUUCUUCUUACAACCAAACACACCCUAAAGGAUCUUCUGCAUUAGUCUUUUACUUUUCUAGUACUGUUGAGAAUGUUUAUUACAUCCUUGAGUAUAAACAUGAAUUUUGGAUCAUUCUAUAUUUUAGUUCUAUUGAAGCUGUUGAAUUAUCUGAGCUAACAAAUAUAAUGAUUGUUUGGUGGUGAUUAUGAAAUUUAAGUUUAGGGAUUAUUUUAAUCGUAUCGUAACUUGCUGGUAGUUCCUUUUGUUAUUAACAAACAAAAAGCGUAGUGUCAAUGCCAUGGUGCAAACGCUACUUUCUGUGCCUAUUUAGCUUAUAACAAUUACAUGUAUUGUAUCCGCAUUCUUUAUCUAAUUUCAUUUAUUUUGUAAUUAUUCUAAAGUGAGUAAGUUUAUUUUUGGGAAGCGGAGAUAGCUAGUUGUUGUGCGAUUCUGAUCCUUAUUAUAGUAUCUGCAGGUAUACCAAUGCAUAAGUUGUAAACUUGUACUUUUGAACAAAUAAUAGUAUUUAGAAAGAAACUAAGUUGAGGAAUUCCAUACCAAUUCUUCAUAGAAUAUAUUUUCAAUGAGACCUGGAAUCUGCCACAAACAACUUCAAAACAAUUGCAGAGUACCUUAUUUAAGCUACCGUUCCUUACAAAUAUAGAAUUAAUUAUCUUUGCAAUAAACAAAAUCACUUUUUGUUUAUAAUCCAACUAAGGAGCCGUAUUUUAUGAGAUAGUUAAAUGUGGCAUAGGCCAUAGCCUACUCUCAUCUUUGAACAUGUGUAUGGAGCAUACUACGAACUCAAUGAUUGGGGGAUUUAGAUUGGUUUCAUUUCACUCCGUUAUUCUCACACUUUUCUAACAGCACUUGUUGUUCCCAGUUCUUUGAUCAAUACGAAAAGCUGUGGACGUCUCCUAAUGUCACAAGGAGGCAGUCUGUAAAGGUCUGUUUGGCAACAAUUUAUUUUAUUUUAUUUUAUUUUUAAAUUUCUUAUCUUCUUUUAAAUGUACAUGAUUCUAUAAAAACAGGAAUAUCACACAGUUGUGUUUGAUUCUAUAACAAUUUUUUGUGUGUAUAUUUCCAUCUAGUUUGAUGCAAGGAUUUCAUAUUGGUGUUUGUGAUUGUGAACAACUAAUGUGUUGGAUGGUCCAUCAGUUUUUAAUUUUAUGUGGACAAGAAAUCAUUUGGUUUGUAUUGUAAUACAAACUAAAUUGUAAGUAUCAACAAACAACGUUGCUUUGAUACUAAUAUAAAUUAGAAGAGUUCUUAUUAUAAAAACAAGUAAUUAGGUGUAUAGCAUCAAGAAAAUAUAUUAAUUACGUGAAAC
Molecule: long non-coding RNA, 1425 nt
Filed under: Medicago truncatula (barrel medic)
Lineage: Eukaryota; Viridiplantae; Streptophyta; Magnoliopsida; Fabales; Fabaceae
Description: long non-coding RNA (MTRU_LNC008093)
Source: RNAcentral